AUCUCUCUCUCUCUCUCACUCUUUGUCUCUCCCCUAACCUUUAUUGUACUAGCAUAACCAUUACCAUACAUACUCUUCUCUAUCAC
Molecule: small RNA, 86 nt
Filed under: Arabidopsis thaliana (thale cress)
Lineage: Eukaryota; Viridiplantae; Streptophyta; Magnoliopsida; Brassicales; Brassicaceae
Description: ATSL128730
Source: RNAcentral